RNAcentral lists this ribosomal RNA (253 nucleotides) under uncultured bacterium. RNAcentral's name for it is "partial 16S ribosomal RNA". It matches the Rfam family "Bacterial small subunit ribosomal RNA", at positions 524 to 776 of the family's 1533-position model. The record is from RNAcentral.
UACGUAGGGUCCGAGCGUUGUCCGGAAUUACUGGGCGUAAAGAGCUCGUAGGUGGUUUGUCGCGUUGUUCGUGAAAACUCACAGCUCAACUGUGGGCGUGCGGGCGAUACGGGCAGACUAGAGUACUGCAGGGGAGACUGGAAUUCCUGGUGUAGCGGUGGAAUGCGCAGAUAUCAGGAGGAACACCGGUGGCGAAGGCGGCUCUCUGGACCGAUACUGACGCUGAGGCGCGAAAGCGUGGGGAGCAAACAGG